CGAAAGACGUGCAACAGACCUGCCACAAAUACAGAGAAUUUUUGAAAAAACGGACAGAAUCUUCCUUAUAUUUGUACGUCGUAACACAUAAUACAAAUUAACAACCAGAUCGCCCACUAAUUAACAGAGCAACAAGAUGUACAAGAAUCAUCAUAUAACAUCAAACAGCUAGCCAUCCUUAGUCAUCUACAUUCGAUAUUCUUU
Molecule: long non-coding RNA, 204 nt
Filed under: Ananas comosus (pineapple)
Lineage: Eukaryota; Viridiplantae; Streptophyta; Magnoliopsida; Poales; Bromeliaceae
Description: long non-coding RNA (ACOM_LNC017084)
Source: RNAcentral